Molecule: unclassified non-coding RNA, 2536 nt
Filed under: Agrilus planipennis (emerald ash borer)
Lineage: Eukaryota; Metazoa; Arthropoda; Insecta; Coleoptera; Buprestidae
Description: hrp65 protein, transcript variant X1
Source: RNAcentral
CUCUAGUCAGUUUCCGUUUGUGUAGGGCAGCACAUCUACAGCACAGCAGUUGUUUCGGUUAUUUCUUUAUUCUAUUUAUUCCAGUUCUAUAUAAAAAUAGACGUUGGGACUUGCUGUUGUUAGUUUUGUGAAUUUUUACAAAUAAGUGAAACUGUAUAAAUAAGUAAUAUACAAGAAUUUUUAAUUAUAAUACUUCACCGUUAAACAAUAAUGGCUAACCAAAAUCCAGACACGACGGCAGAAAAAGUGGAAAGUUCAACAGAAAAUGGCAAUGUUAAUCAACAGCAUAAUGCAGGUGGCCACGGAGGACCUGGAGGUCAAGGAGGAGGUUUACAGGGUGGUAGGCGCGGUGGUAGAUUUGGGGGCUCCGGUGGAGGUGGCGGACGAAGACACAACCCCAAUAUCAAACAGGAAAAUUUCGAACGAAAACGCCCAAGAGGUAAUAUGUCUGGUGGACCAGGAGGUCCUCGUGAAAUGGGACCUGGAGGCGGCCCUGGGAGAAACCCUGACGACCGUCUUAAUGAAAAACUCGCUCAACUUAGUGGACAUACUAUUGACCUUCCACCAUUAGACACAACAGAGAAGAAAUUUUCUGGUAGGAGUCGGCUUUACAUCGGCAACAUUUCUCCAGAUGUAACUGAGGAAGAAUUAAACGAACUGUUUAAGAAGUAUGGUGAAACUAGCGAACUUUUCCUUAACAAGGAAAAAAAUUUUGGAUUUGUUCGCAUGGAUUAUCAUGCAAAUGCCGAAAAAGCUAAGCGUGAAUUGGAAGGCACUACAAUAAAAGGUCGUAACCUGAAAAUCCGUUUUGCUCCGAAUGGUUCUAGCAUUAAGGUGAAGAAUCUUACUCCUUGGGUGACAAAUGAACUUCUUCAUGCUGCUUUUGGAAUUUUUGGUGAAAUUGAACGCGCGGUUAUAAUAGUAGACGAUCGUGGGAAGUCUACGGGAGAAGGAAUUGUAGAGUUUGCUCGUAAAAAUGCAGCAACUCAGGCUGUUCGUAAAUGCAAUGAAAGUUGCUAUUUUAUAACUGCUUCUCUGCGACCAGUAAUAGUGGAACUUUAUGAAGCUCUUGAUGAAUGGGACGGUUAUCCAGAGAAAAAUGUCAACAAAAAGAAUCCAGAGUACACAAAGGACCGUGAAGUGGGCCCCAGAUUUGCAACUCACGAUAGUUUCGAACAUGACUACGGUACUAGGUGGAAACAAUUACAUGAACUUUAUGCUCAAAAAGAGCAAGCUCUUAAAAAAGAAUUGGAGAUGGAAAAAGAAAAAUUAGAAGCACAAAUGGAGUAUGCUCGCUAUGAGCAUGAAACUGAAAUUCUUCGAGAGAAACUGAGAGUGAGAGAAAUGGACCGUGAAAGGCAGAAAAGGGAAUGGGAAAUGAAAGAACGUCAGGCUGAGGAACAAAGGCAAAGGACUGAAGAACAAAUGAGAAGGCAACAAGAGGAAAUGCAGGCAAGAAUGAUGCAUCAAGAAGAAGAACUUAGGAGACGUCAACAAGAAAAUAGUCUGUUCAUGCAAGCACAUCAACUUGACAACAUGCUUGAUCAACAGGAACAGGCCUAUCAGCAGCCCGAUGAUCGUGGUUUAUAUGGCACAUCUAUUCCACCAGAUAUGGGCGGAAAUAAUCCACUGGAGGAAAAAACAUACUUUAAAGCUGCUGCUGGUUGAUAAAUGUGCAACGGUUGUAAUUUUUUGGAAGAAAACAUAGGGGCAUCUUUCAAACGGUAUGAGGCUUACAGAAUUGGGUAUGUACAAAGUUCAAAAAUUGCAAAGUGUACAAAACUCCUUUGUGUAAUAUACAUAAAAUGUAAAUCUUUGCAAAAGUGUGAGUUGUAUUUGUUCUUUCCGAAAAUAUCUAAUAAAUGAUGGAUUAUACUUAACAACUGUAUUUUCAUAUUAUGGCAAAAAUUGACGCUAUUUGCAAGUAAUGUGGCCUAGAUGUGCAGUGAAAUUAUACCCUUAUGUAAUCAUCACGCUUUAUGGUGCUUCAGACACCAAUAGUGUGGUAGGAUAGGCACAUCUGACCUACUAUAUAUUUCCUAUCUAUGGGCACGACUUUGCUGUAGGCAUUUAAGGUUAUGUGUAUGUUGUUUUCCCACAUUGAAUUUAAAUUUCGUUGUUUAUUGAUAAAUUUGUUUUUGAAAGUAUGGAUAGCCGGUUAUGCGUUCAACGUUCUGAAAGUGAGGAUGGAAACAACUCCUAUUUACCGGGAUAUAAAAUAAACUAUUCAUUAUCUGGAAGUAGUGGUAGUUUAUGUGAAAAAAGUUCAGUAACCACACCUAAAAGGAAACCAGACAACUCGUCUAAAAGUUUGAUCUUUACGGAUUAUCAGUCAGUGGCAGAUAGAUGUCGAAUAGCAAUAGAGGGAAGAGGAGGUUGCAUUAGUAUUGAAGGGCACAACACGUCCAAAAACAAUAAGAGAUAAGUCUUCUUUACUUUAUUUUAUAAAAGGAUACAAGCUCUGCAAUUUUACAAAUAUAUACAUAAGCUUAUAAUUUAAGAUAAGCAUUAACAUAAAAUAAACGUCAUAACAUUU